Labrus bergylta (ballan wrasse) is the source of this 870-nucleotide non-coding RNA. The record is from RefSeq and is a predicted model, not a curated record. Lineage: Eukaryota; Metazoa; Chordata; Actinopteri; Labriformes; Labridae.
GUGAGGAGGACAGGGAACGGGCACUUCUCUCAUUCUAUAAACAGCAACAGGAAUGGGCAUGUCCACUUCAUUGUACCCUUGAUGUUUUAUAGGUGAUGCUGCUGUUGGACAGGGAGUGAUGCGGUACUUUCUGACAACAAUAAUAUCCAAACUCCAGUUUGGAUUCAGAAUGAAUCUUGGAGGAGUGGGCCAAACUCUGCUAUUUGAAGGUGAGCCUGACCAUCUCGUUCCAGCUGCAUCAGAGGUGCUUAUUGAGAGCAACCUCUUCCGGGUUGCAGGAAGGAUGAUAGCCCACUCCUUUUUGCAUGAUGGCCCCCAUGUCACCGGAUUAAGUCCUGCUGUUAUUCAUGUACUGUUCAAUGGGGACCCUGAAAUGGCAACAAUUGUUGUCGAGGACUGUCCUGAUCUGCACAUCAGGAGUAUUAUAACAAUGCUUGAACUUGAAGAACUUACUCAGAAACAGAAGGACACAGUGUCAGAUCUUUCCCUGUCUUGGGAUCUCCCAGCAGUCACUAAAACGAAUCAGAGGUGGCUACAUAACAAACUUCUAGUACACGCGGUGAGUUUCUCCUGCUGAUUUGGUGAAUUCUCCUUCUGAAAUUGAACUCAUCCCCCAUUUAUCCAUCAAUUAUGUUUCAAGCUAAGCAAUUCUAUCACGUCUGCAUUUCUUUUGCACAUCUGUAUUUCAAUCACAAACUAAUUGGAACUGCAGGCAGGAUUAUUACAGAACCUAAACACUCUUUAACUUGUAAUCUGGGCAGGGAGUGGUUUGGUGUUGCAAUAUGAAAGGAUAUAAUUGGGGAAAAAUACAUCUUAAGCACUGCAUUAGAGUUUUAUAAACACUUUCUACUGUGCUGACUUUUGUAGAAU